This 327-nucleotide ribosomal RNA is filed under the name Triticum aestivum (bread wheat). RNAcentral describes it as "partial small subunit ribosomal RNA". The record is from RNAcentral. Lineage: Eukaryota; Viridiplantae; Streptophyta; Magnoliopsida; Poales; Poaceae.
AUGCAUCUGAUCUCUGCACAAGCAAUCAGUCGCACUGUUGGCCGAACCAAAUCAGGUCAGCAGUAUUCUUGCACGCAAACUCAGCACAAAGAUUAUGAGGGCAAUGAAAAGGUUCAAAAGGGCAAUGCGUUAUUGGUGAUGAGCGCCGCCUCGAUCGUCUGCAGAGAACCCCAGGGCCGCCUCGAACACCUGCAAAUCUCAAUCCGAUUAUGCCGAAGCAAAGAAGAAAAUCAGAGAGGGGAAAUGGGAAAGGAAAUCCUAGACGAGAGGAAGUGGGGAAUGGAGGCGAGCUCCCAGCGGCGGCUGGAUUUUUUUAUUUUUUUUUGA